RNAcentral lists this ribosomal RNA (388 nucleotides) under uncultured bacterium. RNAcentral's name for it is "bacterial SSU rRNA". It matches the Rfam family "Bacterial small subunit ribosomal RNA", at positions 28 to 414 of the family's 1533-position model. The record is from RNAcentral.
GACGAACGCUGGCGGCGUGCUUAACACAUGCAAGUCGAACGGAAAGGCCCUGCUUUUGUGGGGUGCUCGAGUGGCGAACGGGUGAGUAACACGUGAGUAACCUGCCCUUGACUUUGGGAUAACUUCAGGAAACUGGGGCUAAUACCGGAUAGGAGCUCCUGCUGCAUGGGUGGGGUGGUAAAGUUUCGGCGGUUGGGGAGUGGACUCGCGGCUUAUCAGCUUGUUGGUGGGGUAGUGGCUUACCAAGGCUUGACGGGUAGCCGGCCUGAGAGGGUGACCGGCCACAUUGGGACUGAGAUACGGCCCAGACUCCUACGGGAGGCAGCAGUGGGGAAUAUUGCACAAUGGGCGGAAGCCUGAUGCAGCAACGCCGCGUGCGGGAUGACGG